This 4977-nucleotide long non-coding RNA is filed under the name Podarcis lilfordi (Lilford's wall lizard). The record is from RNAcentral. Lineage: Eukaryota; Metazoa; Chordata; Lepidosauria; Squamata; Lacertidae.
GAUUCUAUGAUUCUACUACACACUAUGUGCAUUGUGUCUGUCUCCAUUUCUUAUUCUUUCUCAUUCCUUCCAGUCUUUAGGAGGAACUGCAGUUGAAGGACUGAGUUGAAAUUACGAAAGAAAGUGAUGAGUCAUGCUGCUUUUCCCAAUAGCUUCUAAAUCUGAAGACCCGACUACAUCAUGGCUUCUGCCUUGCUAUAUCCGUGGGAAGGGGAGGGGGUACAAAAUUAUACUAGUAUGUUAGCCUGAUGUUCCCAGUUUCCAACUUGUGUGUGUGUGAUUACCUAAUAUUCCUUCCCAGCUGUUUCUUAACAUUACUCAUACUAAAGCAACUAUCUUCUCACUUUCCUCACUAAACAUAGUUUCCCUUCGUGGGCUGUUUAGAAUGCUUUUUUUGUGUCUGUGCACUAUAGUUGCCUCAAACUGGCACUGAUUUAGGUAAUAAUAGUUACAAGCUCAACAAAUAUGUAAUCAAAAUAACCUUGCUCAUGCUAAGCUUUAUUCACCCAUUUCCACAAAAGCGGAAAGAAAAGAAAAAGGCAGGCUGCCACAAGUCUUAUUUUAUCUUACCAGGCAAGUGUUUAUCGGGCUGCCCGGGAAAGUGCAUGGACGGAGAGGCAUGAUUCAAAUGCACAAAUGGUGGAGCUGUGGAACCUUAGAGUUGGGAGGGACCCAGGGGUCAUCUAGUCCAACCCCCUGCAAUGCAGGAAUCUACGCAGGAAUUUCCAUGGAAUUUUGGAAAUAAUCAGCCAAAUGGUUGGCUGUGAUGUGAGGUCUUAAAACAUGGGUUGCCAAUCUUUCUGAGCCAAUAGGCACAUUUGGAGAAGGCGCCGUGGCCGCCAGUCGUUAAAUGGCUGCCAUGGAGGUGGCACAAAAUGACUAACACAAAAUGACAAGGCCACAAAAUGGUUUGGGCAUGCCGCCCCCCUCCCUCAAUGAAGAAAAGGUGCACUAGCUACUAGUUCAGAAUGGAUGCGGGGGGGUGGUGAGUGUCCAGUCCUAGCAGCCAACGAAAUGUGCUGUGUUCAAUGAAGGAGAAGGCUGAGCCACUACAAACAAACUGAGCGGUCUAUUGUGAAUUGUGAAUUUCUGAGGAGAUAUCUACUGAGACCUUUCAUGGGGGAAGCUGGGUGCUGCUGGCCAGCACAGCGGUGUCUGUGGGCGCUGCAUCAACUUUUUAAAGCUCUUGAGAAGGCAUGACUAUUGAAACACAUUCAGCGAUAUGACUGUAUCAAGACACAGUGAUAUGUUUGCGUGCACAUUCAAACCUAUGUGGGCUUGAUUGUCAAGGAACAAUCUGCUGAGCUGAGCGUUUCCAUUGCUCUUCCAUGGAACGUGGUCUUGGAGCAGAAAGUGACCUAAUGUGGACAGUCGGAGCUUGAAGAUAAUGGGUCACUUCUACUGCUGUUCUCUGGCAGCUACGAUUCAGUGCUAUAUUGCCUCUAAUCCUGGGGGUGGAAUUUAGCCAUGGUCAUUAAUAGCCAUUGGUAACCCCAUCAUCCUUGAGUAUGUAUAAUCCUCUUUGAACUCUUGUGACUAAUAGCCUUUACUGUGUGGUAGUGAGUGCCAUAUAUUAAUUAGGUGUUCUGUGUAUUUUCUUUUGUCUGUCCUAAAAUUGGCUCUUAAUCAGUUUUACUGGGUGACCUCCACUCUGGCAUCACGAGAAAGGGAGAAAAAAACAACUUAUCACUACCCACUUCUUCCACACCUUGCACAAUUCCACAAACAUCUUUUUGAUGCUCUUUUUUCUGAACUGAACAUUCUUAAAUGUUGGACGUCUUUCUUUGUAGGGAAUGCCUCCUGGUUCCUUGAUCCUUUUGACUGCACCUUUUCCAGCUCUGUGAUAUCCUUUCUGAGGUGGGAAGAUGGUGACCCAUGUUAUUCCAAGUGUGGACACGUCAGGCAUUUGUGUAAAGUUAAAGGCAGUUUUAUUUCCAGCCCCUUCCCUAAGAAUCCCUAGCAAGUUAUUUGCCCUUUUCACAGCUGCCGCACGCUGGGUCAACAUUUCUCUUGAAGUAUCUGCCAUGGCAACCGAGAAAGCUUCCCUUAUACCACGUCAGCCCGGCCUUUGGCACACCUUGUUUACUAUUGUCACUGCAAAAAGGUUGCAAAUGACUUUGAGUAAUGUGUGUUGUUCUAGGGUCACUGUCAUCUCAAAAAGAGGAUGGUUUUUAACAGUUUAAAAUCCAUCAAUAGCAGAAGCGGAACUCUUAACCACGGCCAAAGCACAGCACUGUCCACAACUUUGCUCCUACUGCCAUCUCUAUCUACAGAGACAUGGUGGUAGCAGCGCUAGCGGAAUUGUGGGCAAUAUAUAUCUGUGUGUCACCCCUGACACUAGAGUAAAUGUUACGUCAGGCCUCUCCCCCAAGAUGCAUGCUCCUUGCAUGCUUCCAGGUGUUGAUUAUUUAUCAGCACCCAAAAGUGGCUGUUCUGCUUUAAAAUGGAACGAAACCCGUUUCCAAAUUCCCAGCUGUCUGUAACCAAGCAGACAGUCCCCAUUUCCCUAACUCCAAAUGCUGGGUGGCAGCAGGGGGUGGGGGCUGUGUGUGUGACUGAGACCUGUGUGUGUGAUAAGGGUCAGAUAUUCCCUCCCCCCUGCACUGCACUCCUGAUCGUGAUUCCUCCCCCAACUCUCGUGGCACUGCAAUUCAGGAAGAAAAGAGAAAGAAACAGAUAUGAAGGUGCUGGUAUUUAAAAAGAGAAGGGUUGAUUCCCUCAGAGGAGAGGGAAAACAAAUGGCUAUAGCAGCCUCAGAAAUAGUCUGUGUGCCAGAGUCAGCUGAGCAGCAACACAAGAAGUCACCUGCACCUGGAGAAAUUGCACAGCCAAUUCCUUUGAUAAUUUAAAAAGUUGUAUUUUCGGAGCUCUUAAACAUAAAACUCAACACACACACACACACACACAAAAUGAGAGGGGGAUGUUUCGUUCAUGACAUUGUGGAGCUGCCUUUUCAAAAGUAAGUGAAAAAAGCAGGGCAACACCACAGUAAAUGCUCAGUGUGCAAGAGGCCAUGUUUACGUGCGCUUAGCGUUAAGCGAUUUGGUUUGUAGUUUCCCAGGUUGCUAAAAACAAACCCAAAAACUGCGUUCGAUGGACUGCUCUUCAAGCAUGUGGUGUGGAGGCCAGUUUUAGGGACAGCUUGCAAAGUUUGGUUAGCUUAGCAAUUUCAUGCAAAAUUGGUACAGAGCGCCUUAUUUUGGUACACUUGACACUGUGAAAUCUAAGGGCCAUUUGUCACAAGAUGCAGGGGCAAACCUGGGAUUGGUACAACGUGGGCACUCAAAGCAGGAGCUGUAGCCCUGCUCAUUAUUGUAUGACACAAGCAUUUAUUGCACAUUUACACUUUAUAUCUUUUCAUAGUAUGCACAAAGCUUCUUAGACAUAUAUCUAAAAAGGUAAUGUACAAAACGGCGCUAUCAGCCAAAGCAGCUUCUAAGGGCUGAGCACUCCGUAAUACAUAAUGCUCAUGGAAAGAAAACAUUGCAAUAUAUUAUUAUAUCACAGGGGAACCUUUAGUAUGAUAAAUAUUUCAUCAGGAUAGUAGGCCAAGGAUUCUUGGACUCAUAUGCAGUCUUUCCUAGAGCACAUGGAAAAACUACCUUUUUGAGUCUUUAAAAGCGUGAGCUCCCAUUGGACAGAAACAAAGAGCGGAAUAAUAAAUUGAUAACUUUGCAGUGGGGUCUCCGUUGUGCAUAAGAUGUUAAAGUGGCCUUCCAGAGAAAGCUGUGGGAGCCAGUGAACGCUCCAAGGCUCAGGGAAAGGAGUGAAAAGAAUUGAACAGAAUGCAUUCUGCUGAAGUAAAAAGUGACAAUUUGAAAAAGGGAAUGCUGUUCUGAAGGGGGAUGAAUCAAUGCUUGCUCUGAGUCACCCUCAAAUCCAUAGCUGCCCCUUCGUGCAAUGCUUGAGAUCACACCCUUGUACUCUCUGUUAAUCAAGCUGGAUUAAUCAUAUCUUCUUGGUUUUGCAUUUAUGAUUAAUAACAAUUUGUUAUAAUUUCCAACCAUACCUUAUUAAUAUCAGCUAAAGGCAUUAUUAUUUACUAGAAUAAAGACAUUUCAGUAAAAUGCCUAGCAUAUGUUUUGGUAGAGAGGACAUUUCAUACCUGGGAGCUGAACAACUUUGUUGUGUAACGAUGUACUGUACUAUUUCUGCUUAUCACUGUGAAAUAAAGGAGUUUUGCAAUAAAAAGUUUUUGGUUCUUAACAUAACAUUUAAGAUAAAUGGUUAAUAAAAGACCCAUGGUUGAUAGAGAGGAAGCAAAACCAAACAAGUACCAGAAAUAUAUAUUUUAAAAGCUCUUGCAAUACUUUUAUAUCUAACAGCAUUAAAGUUUAUGCUUAUAGGCUGCUUGAUGCAGCUGUCACGUUGGGUUUCACUUGGCCCUCCGGCAGCCCUCCUCAUUUGUCUGAGAGCAAAGCAUUCAAGCUGUCUGUCACAGCAGUGUGAUCUUUUGAUCCAAUGGGAAAGCAGAGUUUCUGCCAUAUUCAGGAAAGAUCCGUCACAUGAUCUUCAACAAAGCAACUGUGUCAUGCGCUGGUAAAUUCUGCCCAUUGCAAAUACGUAAGGGUGUCCUAUAAAUUAUGAUGCCAGGUUCCUGCAAAUAAAACCCCUGUUUCUUCCAUAGUGUUUCAUAGAAAGCUUAAAAUGCAAACAACAGCAAAAUGCUGCUGAUCAUGUUAAAAAAACAUUUAAAGCUGAUUCAGCAAAAAAUAGUAUUUUGGGUACACUGGACUCCACAGCAUCUUUACAAGAAGCUAUUGUUUUCUGAUUCAGGUAGAUGCUGGAAGUGUAAUGCUGGGGUACAUGAUGUGGGCUUGUCGAGUGAUAGCAUCUUUUUGCUUGGAAGUUGUCUAUAUUGUUGCACGGACCCCACUUUCCGAGCAGUGAGAGACUCCAGGGAUGCCUGUGAUUCUUGUGAAUAAUUAUAUUUGUAUACCACCCUUCAUCCGAAGGUCACAGGGUGGUUCGCAGCAU